CCAUUUCCUGCGCUUUCACAAGGCUUGAAAGACUACUGCAAAGGCUUUCACAGCAACUGCUACUCUCGCUAAUUUGCUUUGGUUAUUCGAGAGUUUGAAUUUUGCUGAAAACAUGUUUGUGGCGGAGGCGGCUGUGUCUUCCAUCUUUGAUCUGGUGAUUGGGAAGUUGGCGGCUGCCACCGCUGCCCCUUUGUUGGAGUAUGCACGCAGGCAGAAUGUUGAGGCCACCCUCCAAGAAUGGAGGACGACUUUGUCGCAUAUUGAAGCUGUGCUGAUUGAUGCUGAGCAGAAGCAGACAAGGGAGAUAGCUGUUAAGCUUUGGUUGGAUGAUCUCAAAUCUUUGGCUUACGACAUGGAAGAUGUUCUGGACGAGUUCAACACUGAAGCUAAUCUGCAGAUCCUGAUACAUGGACCCCAAGCUAGCACCAGUCAGGUACACAAGCUCAUCCCAACUUGUUUUGCUGCUUGUCAUCCUACAUCUGUCAUAUUUAAUGCAAAGGUUGGUGGAAAGAUAAAGAAAAUUACAAGGGAGUUGGAUGCUGUUGCAAAACGAAAGCAUGACUUUCAUUUAAGGGAGGGUGUUGGAGGGUUGUCGUUUGAGAUGGAAGAAAGGUUACAAACCACUUCCUUGGUAGAUGAGUCUAGCAUUUAUGGUAGGGAUGCUAAGAAGGAGGCUAUCAUUCAAUUUCUCUUAUCCGAGAAAGCCUCCAGGGAUAAUGGUGAUAAUGGAGUUUCUGUAGUUCCCAUCGUAGGUAUGGGUGGGGUUGGUAAAACAACCCUGGCUCAAAUUAUCUACAAUGAUAAGAGGGUGGAGAGCCACUUUGAUACCAGGAUUUGGGUUUGUGUAUCGGAUCGAUUUGAUGUGACAGGGAUAACCAAAGCAAUUCUAGAGUCCGUCACUCAUAGUUCAACUGAUUCUAAGAACUUAGAAUCAUUACAAAAUAGCCUGAAGAAUGGAUUGAAUGGGAAAAGAUUCUUCCUCGUUCUAGAUGAUGUGUGGAACGAGAAGCCCCAAAACUGGGAUGCCUUAAAGGCUCCUUUUAGGGCUGGUGCACAAGGCAGUAUGAUCAUAGUAACAACUCGUAAUGAAGAUGUUGCAUCGAUUAUGCGCACUACUGCCUCUUCUCAUCACCUUGAUGUGCUAUCCUAUGAAGAGUGUCGGCUAUUAUUUGCAAAACACGCCUUUGCACAUAUGAAUACAAACAUCCGCCAAAAGUUGGAACCAAUUGGUGAGAAGAUAGUAAGAAAAUGCAGAGGCUUGCCUUUGGCUGCAAAGUCGCUUGGAAGUCUAUUACACACUAAACAAGAUGAAAAUGCUUGGAAUGAAGUACUGAAUAAUGACAUAUGGGAUUUUCCAAUUGAACAAAGUGACAUUCUUCCAGCUUUAUACUUGAGUUACCAUUAUCUUCCACCAAAUUUGAAACGAUGUUUUGCAUAUUGCUCCAUAUUCCCCAAGGACUAUAAAUUUGAAAAAAGGAACUUAGUGUUGUUAUGGAUGGCAGAAGGCUUAUUAGGUGGCUCUAACGGGGAGAAAAUUAUAGAAGAUUUUAGUAACACAUGCUUUGAAAAUUUACUUUCAAGAUCUUUUUUCCAACGAUCCAUUGAUGAUGAAUCACUAUUUCUGAUGCAUGAUUUAAUUCAUGAUUUAGCACAAUUUGUAUCGGGGAAAUUUUGUUCUUGGUUGGAUGAUGGAAAGAAAAAUCAAAUUUCUAAGCAGACCAGACAUUCUUCUUAUAUUAUUGCAAAGGAAUUUGAACUCUCCAAGAAAUUUAAUCCAUUUUAUGAAGCUCAUAAUUUGCGGACCUUUCUUCCUGUACAUACAGGUCAUCAAUCUCGUCGUAUCUUUUUAAGCAAGAAGAUCUCAAAUCUUUUAUUGCCAACACUGAAAUGCUUACGGGUUCUCUCUUUAGCUCAUUAUCAUAUUGUGGAGUUGCCUCGCUCAAUUGGAACUUUGAAACACCUACGCUACUUAGAUCUUUCUCGUACUUCAAUUAGAAGGCUCCCUGAAUCAAUAACCAACCUUUUCAACUUGCAGACAUUGAUGUUGUCAAAUUGUCAUUCUCUUACUCAUUUGCCCACAAAAAUGGGGAAACUAAUCAACUUGCGUCAUCUUGAUAUUAGUGACACUAGCUUAAAGGAGAUGCCAAUGGGAAUGGAAGGGUUGAAACGUCUUCGAACAUUGACUGCUUUUGCUGUUGGUGAGGAUAGAGGGGCAAAAAUUAAAGAGUUGAGGGAGAUGUCACACCUUGGUGGCAGACUUUGCAUUUCCAAGUUGCAGAAUGUGGUGGAUGCUAUGGAUGUCUUCGAGGCUAACAUGAAAGGCAAGGAGCGUCUUGAUGAGUUAGUAAUGCAGUGGGAUGGCGAUGCUACUGCUCGUGAUUUGCAGAAGGAAACAACUGUGCUUGAAAAGCUACAACCUCAUAACAAUUUGAAAGAGCUGACCAUCGAGCACUAUUGUGGUGAAAAAUUUCCUAACUGGUUAGGCGAACAUUCAUUUACUAAUAUGGUGUCCAUGCAACUCCACGAUUGUAAAAAUUGCUCAUUCUUGCCAUCGCUAGGGCAACUUGGAUCUCUCAAGGAGCUCUCUAUUAUGAGGAUUGAUGGAGUGCAGAAGGUGGGACAAGAGUUCUGUGGGAAUAUUGGGUCUUCUUCGUUUAAGCCAUUUGAAGCCCUAGAGAUUCUGAGGUUUGAAAAGAUGUUAGAGUGGGAGGAAUGGGUUUGUCGUGAAAUUGAAUUCCCUUGUUUGAAGGAGCUUUGUAUCAAGAUAUGUCCAAAGCUGAAAAAGGAUUUACCCAAACACCUUCCUAAAUUAACAAAACUUGAGAUUAGAGAAUGCAAGCAGCUGGUGUGCUGUCUUCCAAUGGCUCCCUCCAUUCGUGAAUUGAUGUUGGUGGAAUGUGAUGAUGUGGUGGUUAGGAGUGCGGGCAGUCUCACCUCAUUGGCUUCCUUGGAUAUACGCAAUGUUUGUAAAAUACCAGAUGAAUUAGGACAACUGAAUUCUCUUGUAAAGUUGUCUGUGAGUGGUUGUCCCGAGCUAAAGGAAAUGCCACCCAUUCUUCACAACUUGACAUCUCUUAAACACUUGGAUAUCCGGUACUGUGACAGUCUUUUGUCUUGUUCAGAGAUGGGGCUACCACCAAUGCUUGAAAGGCUUCAAAUUAUUCACUGUCCCAUUCUGAAGUCCCUAUCAGAGGGAAUGAUACAAAAUAAUACUACUCUCCAACAAUUGUACAUCUCGUGCUGUAAAAAAUUGGAGUUAUCAUUGCCUGAGGAUAUGACGCACAACCACUACGCUUUCCUUACUCAAUUAAAUAUAUUUGAAAUUUGUGAUUCUCUCACGUCCUUUCCUUUAGCUUUCUUCACAAAGCUUGAGUAUCUUCAUAUCACAAAUUGUGGCAAUCUGGAGUCCCUUUACAUUCCAGAUGGACUUCACCACGUGGAACUCACAUCUCUCCAGUCAUUGGAAAUAUCUAAUUGCCCUAAUCUGGUAUCUUUUCCACGAGGAGGAUUGCCCACUUCCAAUUUAAGACGGCUUGGGAUACGUAACUGCGAAAAACUUAAGUCACUGCCCCAAGGGAUGCACGCCCUCCUUACAUCCCUUCAAUAUUUGCAUAUAUCUAGUUGUCCAGAAAUUGAUUCAUUUCCAGAAGGAGGUUUGCCCACUAAUUUAUCUGACCUUCACAUCGGGAAUUGCAACAAACUCUUGGCUUGUCGGAUGGAGUGGGGCUUGCAAACGCUACCCUUUCUUAGAACGUUGGAGAUUGAAGGAUAUGAGAAAGAAAGAUUUCCCGACGAGAGAUUUCUGCCCUCCACUCUCACCUUCCUUCAAAUUAGGGGUUUUCCAAAUCUGAAAUCCCUGGACAAUAAGGGCCUUCAGCACCUCACCUCUCUUGAAACUCUGGAGAUUUGGAAAUGUGGAAAGCUCAAGUCCUUCCCAAAACAGGGGCUGCCCUCCUCCCUUUCUCGUCUUUAUAUUAGAAGGUGUCCUCUGCUGAAGAAACGGUGCCAAAGGGAAGAAGGGAAAGAAUGGCCCAACAUUUCUCACAUCCCCUGCAUAGUGUUCGACAGAUACGAUAAGAAAAAUACGGAGGUGAUCUUAUCAUGAGGCCCUUCCAUUGAAGCUCUUGCUCUCCUCUGCAUUUAUUGGCCCAGGAGUAUCUACUAUCAUCUUAUUGAUGGAGGAAGGUUGUCCACCAGAAUUGUCAGUUUACUUGAUUCACUACUUGGUUUUUGCAAGCACAUCAAAAUGUAGGGAACAAAUGGAAAAAUCUACGUGGUAAAGCCCAAGCAGACAAAUCAUUCCUUCCCAGACAUUACGAUUUAGAUUCUUCAGAUAUGUCAAAGGAUUCAACAAAUGUAUUCAUAGAUUCUAAUUAGCUAUGCGUCUAAAGCAUCCGACUAAUAUCAUUGGUAGAGAAAGAUUGUGCACUUUUUGAUAUCUGCAUGUAUGAUGCCACAAAGGGAGCAAAAUUUUCCUACCCGAUGAAGGACAUGUGGGCAUAUCAUCCAUAAGAGAAUGUUUUGAAAAAGUUCAGAUAGAAUGGAGUGUUUUGGAAAAUGUAUUAGCAGCUGCAAGGUACCUUGCCCUCAAUUAGGGGCCACACCUGAAUGUGGAUUCAAAUGCUCUGAAUCUCAUAAUGUGAGGACAACAUCUAGUUUGUCGUUGUUCUUGUCAAGAGAUUGUUUUUCUCUGCUCAAGAUUUCAAUCUUAGGCAUUUCUGAUCACUGCUACCAAUCCAAAAUCCUGAAGGCAAUGUCAUUGCAUUGAUUCCAUGAUCUUGCUUCAAACAAAAGUUUAGUACUCUGCUUAAGGAUUGCCAUUGCGGCUGCUCCAUUCCUUGAAAGCUGUUUAAACAUGUCUCCCACUUCAUGUUAUUCUGCUUCUGCACUGGGCAUCAUUGAAGCAUUUUAAAAAGGGUACUGUACUUGUACCUGCAUAACUGCCACAGGAGGGAUAUUUGAAGGAGACACCAUUGGAGCAUGUCAAGGUGCAUUCUACUGAUGUCAACCAUAAAUGACACGUCCUAAACAUUGGGAAUUUCAAUGCAAUAAAAAGGUCUUGGACAUGCCAUUCUGUAUAGGAAGAGCUUAAUCAGGUAUGCAGACUGAUUCUCCUCUUGGUGAUUAGGUUUAGUAGCUUGAAUUCAAGUAUUCAAACCUAUUCCUGCCAUCUUCUUAUACUCUUCUGUUUCCCUAAAUAAUUUGUAAGUAAUUUUUAUAAUAUUUUAUUUAUUGAAUCUAUGUUUGGAAAAACUUCUUAAAUGCUAAAAACAAGAUUUGAAGGUCAAAUUCAACUUUUGAUGACAUUAGAUAGAAUUAUUAAACUAGACCUUACACUUUCUCAGUAUAAUUUACCUAAAAAUACAAACAUCUUUAUUUUUCCUUUAAUAAAAGUUCAAUUAAAUCUUUUACACCCUCAUCUUUAAUAAAAGUAUUAAAAUUAUAAUCAUCAAACAUAAUAUCUACUUUUGCUGAAUGCUUUGAAUUUAAUAAUAUGGGAAUGACUAUCCUACGUCAUUUAUUUGGUUAUUGAGGAUUACAGUCUAUAAAAAUUCAAUCUACAUUGUUUUAGUGAAGUACUGUAAGUCUGUAUUAUGUGGUUACCCUUACACCUAGAUUCCCAUUCAUGCUAUGAAGAGUUUGGAAGAGGUAUUUAUGUCGCAUAAGCAUGAUCAAAAUGUCUCUUUCACUUUCACUAUCAAAAUAUCCUUUGCUUUUAGGUAUGUCUUCUACUUUCUGAAAAAAUAUUUUGUUUUGCCUUAUACUGAGAAUUCACACAAUGAAUUUCAAUUGGAGAUAACCUUAUUUGUAUCCUAUUUCUAGAAAUGUCCUCCUUAUCUAUAUCCUAUUUCUAGGACUGUCACACCUAUAUGGUGGAUUCAAAUGAUUUGAACCUCAUAAUGUGAAGACAACUUGUCCUAUGCUAUUGUUGGUGUUUUGACCACUGAAGAUUGCCAUCCUAGGAGUUUUAGUCGCUGCUAGCAGUCAAGAAUCCUUUAGACAAAUGCAUGCAUUUACAUUUAUUCCAUGAUCUUGCUCCAAAGAAAAGUUUUUUACUCAUCUGCGGAAGGAUUGUAAUUGUGAGUGCUCCAUUCUUUGGAAGGUAGCACUACUUGUCAAGAGUUGUAGCUCAUGUGAUUUGGUGUUCUGUUUAUUAAUUUACACUUCGGUUGAUAUAAUAUUUGGUUGUCACUCUUUAAUUUGGUUGACAUAAUCUAGGUAGAAAUUCUACCUAGAUUUUUUGUUUUGGUAUUUCAUUUCUGUUAUUUAGUUUUGAAGAUCAUAUGAUGUUUUUUUUUUUAUUGGACGUUUUGAAGAUCAUAUGAUGUUACUAGCUUUAAUUUGCAUUGACCCGCUUUUCUAUAAAAUGCUUGAGUUUUCUUUACUACUAUUAAAUACAAGCAAUUGUGAAAAACUAUAGGUUAUCUCUUUUAAGGUAGAAGAGAUUUAUUUUGAUGUCCUACAACCUAUUUUCAUUUUUUACUUCUAUAAAUGUAAACUAUAUUAUUUCUUAAUCUUUAAUAGUACAAAUGAAACAUAAAUGUUAAUAUUAGCAAAGCAUUCUCCAUGUGUUGCACUAGAUUCAGUAGUUAUGUAAAAGGCUGAAAGAUGAUGACCUAUCCAAGAGAAAAUACCGAACUAUUAGAGUUAUCAAUAUAUCUUUGCUUAUAUUAGGCUGCUCUCUAUCUUUAAAGUAUGGUUCAGAGGUUAUCGUAUGCGUUCUGUUUCACUGGUUUCCAUUUUGAUGGUCAAGAUAAUUAGGAUAGGGCUGAAACAUUGUUUCCCAUUAUUAUGCAUUUUGGUAAUCUCUUCUCUCAACAAAAUUACUUCUUUCAUUUCAACAAUACUGCUCAAAUCCUUUAUCAAUUUCACUUUUACUUUGAAUAGUCUUUUUUCCUGUUGGUUUGUCUGUUUUCCUCCAAAUUGGUUUUAGACUGUUAGCAUGAAAUUAAAGAGUAACAUAAACUCCAAUUGAACAAAUUUGUUUACCUUCAAUGAAGCAUUCAACUGUUUACUGGUGGAUAAAAAAUAUUUAACUGUUUUAUCAGUUUCUUAUUCAUUUGGCACCAUUGUAGCAUAUGAAAAAGGUACUUGAACCAAAGUAGCAGCCAUUGCAAAGACAUUUGAUGGAGGCUUCAUUGGAGCAUGUCAGGAUGGUUAAUGAGCCUUUCUCAAGUCAACAUUAAAUGGUAGGUUCUAAACUUUGGAAUUUCAACACAAUAAAAAGGUACGCAAAUUAGAUGGUUUUUGUGCCUACAGCAGAUGCACUUUCACACUAGCACCUUAGUUUUAGAGUUUUUGUGAAAUUUGUGGAUGUAUUUACAACUGCUUGCUCCUAGGAUGUUGACCAACAAGAUUGCUUGUGGGAAGGUGACGUGGAAUCACAAAUAAGUGAAAUGAUAUGCAAGGGAUAUGCAAUUGAUACCCGUCCCUAUUCUGCUGACUUGAAUGUGACUCAAGUACAUCAUUAUGCAUGUCUUCGGCUAACGGUAUUCAGACAGAUUUCUGCCACCUUCAACUAUGGUCUUCUGUCACCAUAUAACCAUGUGUUAAUGUUCAUCCUAAUAACUUAAUUCUCAUGCCCUAACUUGAAGAAAUGAUGGACAACCAAGUAUGAGAAAUGAGGAAAAAUUAAAAGAGAAGCUAUUAAAUUUGGAAAAACAGAGUAUUGCUGUUUGAAGUAGACUGAAAUGUGCAAGGAUUUGUCAUUGAUGUAGGCUUCUACUGUAACGACUAUAGUUUUCCAUGUUAAUGGAGUUUCAUGCUGGCUCCUUGCUACAAUGGAACUAUAAUGUCCUCCAUGCACCUUUCAGUAACUCUUAAGGUUGUAAAUAUGGCUCCGUAUACGGAUGCUUGUUCAUAUGAUGUAUAGACGCGGCGAGUGGAGAAUUGGUUCUCAUAGUUGCUGCAAAUUUGGUGCAGAAUCACAAGCACUCAGACUACUGGAUGACUAGGCAUCAGAACAAGCUAUUCAGUAUUUUUUUUUUCUCCAUUGAAUAGAUGGAAUUAAAACAUGAACAAUUGUGGAAAGAAAGGAACCGCCUUCUUCAUUAUUGAUUCAUAUAUCAACGAAAAUGGCAACAUUUGCAGCUGUUGGAAACCUACAUGACAACAGUUCUUAGGUCUUUUAAUUUUGAAUACAUGAAACAUUUUUCCCAAUA
RNA transcript from Vitis vinifera (wine grape), 8162 nucleotides. It is a transcript of the gene named putative disease resistance RPP13-like protein 1, with no coding region annotated. The record is from RefSeq and is a predicted model, not a curated record. Lineage: Eukaryota; Viridiplantae; Streptophyta; Magnoliopsida; Vitales; Vitaceae. The transcript is spliced from 11 exons.